GUCUACGGCCAUGCCGCCCUGAACAAGCUUGAACCCGUCUGAUCUCAGAAGCUAAGCAGGGUUGGGCCUGAUUAGUACUUGGAUAGGAGACCACCUAGGAAUACCAGGUGCUGUAGGUG
This 119-nucleotide ribosomal RNA is filed under the name Pteropus alecto (black flying fox). Lineage: Eukaryota; Metazoa; Chordata; Mammalia; Chiroptera; Pteropodidae. The record is from RNAcentral.